CUUCCGCGUUUCAUAAUACACGCAAUCCAGGGGCACCAAAAUCACAGCUUAUAUGAAAGUAAGGUCCAAAUGAUGCAUCAUACAAGUCAUGAUAUAUGUACCCACUUGAGACUCCACAAACAAUUAAACAAACAACCACACUGCUCGGUUAAGAAGAAGAAGAAGAAGAAGACAUCGCAAUCAGUUCAGGCUUCAGCUAUUAUUUAUAGCCAUAAGAUUACAAGUGGGUGAGAUGAUCUACUCGGUAACACGUACAGUGUCCAUCUCAUAUAGCAGCUUCAAUUUCAUCAGAAUUAACUGCCACUCCAUUUGGGGUAUCUUCUGAUCGAAGCUGAGCAGAAACAUCAUCAAUAGCAGAGUUCAGUUGUGCAAUCUUCUCAGUUAAUAUCUUUCGGGUU
RNAcentral lists this unclassified non-coding RNA (398 nucleotides) under Hevea brasiliensis (rubber tree). The record is from RNAcentral. Lineage: Eukaryota; Viridiplantae; Streptophyta; Magnoliopsida; Malpighiales; Euphorbiaceae.